GCCGGGAUAGCUCAACGGUAGAGCAACGGUUUUGUAAACCGUAGGUUGGAGGUUCAAAUCCUCUUCCCGGCUCCA
This 75-nucleotide transfer RNA is filed under the name Candidatus Nomurabacteria bacterium RIFCSPHIGHO2_01_FULL_40_12. RNAcentral describes it as "tRNA-Thr". It matches the Rfam family "tRNA". From Rfam's summary of the family: Transfer RNA (tRNA) molecules are approximately 80 nucleotides in length. Their secondary structure includes four short double-helical elements and three loops (D, anti-codon, and T loops). The record is from RNAcentral. Lineage: Bacteria; Candidatus Nomuraibacteriota.